AAGGAGACACUCAUGAGAAAGAGCCAACGUGGGAUGAUGCACUGAGGAAAGGCACGCAAGAGUACCAACACUAUUCGUAUAACAUAUUGACAUGCAACUGUCAUUCCUUUGUAGCCAACAACCUGAACCGUCUUGCGAUAAGAUCAGGUGGAUGGAACGUGGUGAAUCUCGCGGCGCUAGUGUUCCUCAAGGGACGUUGGGUGAGCAAAACUGCGAUGGUCAAGUCUUUACUGCCUACAGUUAUAAUCUACGCUAUAGGAAUGUUACUAGGUGGUUGGACAUUCUUAGCUUCCUGCUGUGUUCUAGCCUGUUUACUUACGGGUUGGUUCAUCAUGGGAACGUAUUGUUUCAAGAAACUGAUCCAGUUGUAGAUUUGAUUUUUGAUCCAAGGAUUUGGUUAUGAAGGUUAUUUGACCAAGACUGUUGAAAUAUAAAACAGUACAUCAUUUUGCUUGUUUUGACUGGAGAUGGCAAGGUCUUCGUCUCUGUGUGGUGUCUUAUUCCUUGGUUUGCUUUUCAUACUCUCGAUCUGUCUCAUCGUCGAAUAUUUCCGAUUUGAAGACGCGCCCAUGUACUAAUUAACAUAUGCCCAUAAGAACUGAAAUCCUUGUUCUUUCUUGAAUCUGAAUUUAUAGAUUGUAUGUGUGUUUACAAGUUACUGUUGUUUCAUCAUUGCUAUGACGAGAGCAAUGAAAGAUUGAAAACGGACCAGCCGUAUAGUUGUGUGACGAUUAGACGACAACAUGCUUGUCAUCUUUAUGGACUAGUGAAGAAACUAUAUGGUGUUGUAUGAAUUGCAACUUUUUUGCUUUGGUAAAAUGUUAAGAUAAUUGCAAGUUUGUUGACCAAAAAAAGAAAGAAUUGCAAGUUUGUUUCUCUUUUUGUAUAAUAUGUCUAUAAUGUAUAUUCAAUACCUUUUUUAUCAACUAUUAUAUUUAUAUAAAUUGAAAAAGACAUACAAAAUACAUAGAAUUAUAAAACAGAAAACAAAACUAAAAUAAUAAAAAAGACAAUUAAACAAGAGCCAGAUUAACGCUCUAAAUUUUGGAACUUCUUAUUUGUUGUAUAACAUUGGCCAAAUCCCAAAUUAGAUCUAAAGAUUUAUCUGGAUUAUAACCCAAUCCAUUGAGUCGUCCUAUAGAAAUGAAAAAUGAGACGCUAAUUUUCAGCAAUUAUACGAACAUCGUUAUACAACAACAGAAUACACCUCCAGCCCUCAAACAUCGACUUAUCCACAUUAGUGUCCACAUUCAGAUAUAUUGUAUCGAAAUAUGGUAUACAAACUCUUUAUUCACUAUUGUAUUCUAAUGGCCAGAAAAGAAAAAACUGAUCCUCUGAUCCAUUUAUCCACAACUUGCCACUUGUUCUUCUUUCUGAUCCAUUUAUCCACAACAUUAUCCUUCGUCAAGAUCCAUCUAUUUAUUUACCUCUGAUCUUGAAUUCACUAAUUGAUCCAAUUGUGCAUUUCUCCUUCGUUUAUUCACGUCCAGUUAUUUUUGAUAUUUUGAAAAAAAAUAUAGUUGGACUUUCUAAAUUGCUAAGCAAUCAUUCAUGUGCAUGUUGAAGAAAAAGGAUUCAACUUCUGCUCACUCCCUACUUCCCAUGCGCUGAUUUGCAAAAUGUUUACCACAAUAGCUUCAAUAAAUGUGUUUUCAUUUCUCCUUUGAGAGGUUAGUUAUGAUGUUUAAGGGUUUUUGAGGGAUAUGUGAUAUUUUGUUCUUUGGUGUCGCUGGACCACUAAUUGUUGUAUCCUCUCUGAUGACAUAAUCUACUGGUUGCUCUAUAAACCUAUCCAAAACCAUAAAGUUCCAUCCUUUAUUUUUAUUCCGCAGAUGGUACUUGGAAAAGUUUGUGAAAGGACAAUGGGAUAAAGAUGACUGUGUUCUUGAGUGGAAAAAUUACAUAGACUAUCCCUCGAUAACUCACCACUCUUCUUAUGUCUUUCAGCUCUAUUCAUGUUUUGUCUGAUGUUCCUAAUCAGUUCAUGAGCUCUCUUUAUGAGUUUCACUUUCCUCGGUUCUCAUGUAUUCAAACAUAAGAGUUUAGGUGGAAAAUUUCUUACUCGCAUUUUGGAGUUUUUUGGUGAGUUUAAUCCAACUAAACAAGCUGAUGCAAAAGAAUCCAGCCGAUGAUACUUGGCCCUUUAUGUUUCUCAAUAACAUUCUCUCUUUGAAACAAAUCCAUUGAGCAACUUGUUUAUAUAUAGGAAAGCAUUCUCUAUAUUACUUGGGACUUAGGAGGGAAAUCAAAAUAGAAUUAAGGAGAAUGUUGUAUUCUUAUUUUGGCAACCAAGCUGUAGGCCUUUUCCGGGAUUGCUUCAGCAAUUUAAUAAUAGUUGAUGUUAUCAUAUGCAAAAAUUCGUUUGGGGGUGCUGACUUCGUCUUCUUCUUGAUCAGCUGGUGGUCCGCAUCAUUUCUUUGUUUAUUGUAUGGACUAGAAAGGUAAAUAAAAUCUUCCGUCCUUAGAAACAUUCUUCAUGCAAAACUUAACUGAAAUUAAAAAAAAAAACUUAACUGAAAUUUAAAUUUUCCAAAAUCCUGAACCAUUUUACUGUGCUUACACUUUCUGGCUCAUGAACUCUAAAGAGUUGACACAUACUUGUAGAGUACUUGGACCAUUGGCAUCAUCACACUUCACAACAGAGGUGCGUACGAGGGAAACCAUCCGUUGAAAUCACUGUUCUAAAAUACACACAAUGUUAGGAAACAACUGUCUUUCGUCGUUCAUAUGGAUGCAGAGUUGCCGAUUUGAUUUACAGAGUCAAUAUGAGUUAGUAAAUGUCUUGCUCUAAAAAAAAAUACACACAAUGUGGUCGUCUAAGCGCCAUAUAUACGCUGUACGGGUGCAUAACGUACUGAAUUUGGUGGUUCGGUUUAUUUAUACGGCAUAGUCUAUUUUAGAUAUUGUGGUUAGUAUUAACGAAGAAAAUGAUUAUAAUGAACAAGUCAAAUAUUCAAAUUACUCUAGAAGUAUGCGUGGAUUCAUAUUUUAUAUGAACUUAUGAAGGCUUGCACAUUUUGUUGAAGUAGUUGUAUUUUAUCGUUCUUGUUCAACAUAUUUAAACGUAUAAUGUAACUCUUUGUUUCACAUCUGUUUUUUUUUUACAAAAAUGAAGUCAUCUUAUUAUAUAUUCAGAAUGCUACUAUUUAUCGUAGAUAAGAAAAUAAUAAGAACUGUAUAAAUUUAUGAUAAGAAUAUGGAUAUGCCAAUUUACUUACUAAAUAUUAUAUUUUUUCUUUGAAACAUUUACCGUUAUACCUCGCAUAAAUAUCUGCAUAUACAGCUAAGCAGUAGUUCAUAGUGUAUUUUAGAACACUGGUUGAAAUCCCCUAGACUAUAUUUACGAAGUGAUUUUGCCACAUAUUCUCUAUACAAUCAUUUUUACAAAAACAAUGAUGACAUGGCUAAUAAGAUUGAUGACAUGGCUUAUAGUUAAUAUGACAUGAACAAUCACAUUUAUUACUGACAUAUAUUUUUGGUAAACUUUAUAGAAUAUAGCAAUAACUAAUACAUUACAUUUAAUGUUGAUUUAUAUUUUUGGUAAACUUCUUAAAAUAUGGUAAUAAUUUAUAAAUCAUCACUAAAAUAAAUAUAUUGAAAUAUGCAUUAUAAAUUUCAAAAUACAUUAUUUAACUGUAUUUUUAUAAUUGUACAAUUUUUAUUACUAAUAUUUUCAAAAUUUUCUACAUCUUUUUUAAUAUAUGAAUAAAUUGUUAAUCGUAAUUACAUUAGUUUCUUUUAGAUACCUACAAAUUUUAUAAAUAUUAUUUAGUUAUAAUUUUUAAUAACUAUACAAUUUUAUAUGAUUUUUUAGUAAUUUUAUAUAAGCUAAUACAUUUAACCAAAAUAAAUAGAUAAAAAAUUUAUCUAAGAUUUGAAUUUUAAACAUAUUACAUAUAUAUUAUUAAAUGUAAUUUAAAGUAAACAAAAUUAUUUUUUUCAUAAUUUUAUGCUUAAAUAAUCAAUUUUAUAUUAAAUAUUAGUCAAAAAUAAUAAAAUAUAUAAUAUUAAUAAAUUUUAUUUGAAAUAUAGUUUAACUUUUGAAAAAUUUAUCACAAACACAUAGUAGGUCUAUAUAUAUGAAACAACACAUUAUGAUUUCUAUUCAAAACAGGCACACGUGUAACCUAAGCAGAGGCUUGGUCCGUCUCUUUUUACUCCACGUGUACAUUCAUUAAUUUCCGUGCCUCUCUCAAAAUCUCGACUCUGGUAAUAAAAGUCUCACUUGGUCGCUGAAUUUUCCUCUAUAAGAAUCUCACUUGGUCGCUGAUUUUUCCUCUCUCUCUCAUCAGAUCAAGAAUCAUCAAAUCAAGAAUGACAAGCGAGGUGAGAGAGAAGAAGAUCAAGACCAAUGGGAUUUGGUUAAACGUGGCUGAGAAAGGAGAUGAGGGAGAACCUUUAGUUCUGUUACUCCAUGGCUUCCCUGAGACAUGGUUCUCGUGGCGUCACCAGAUCGAUUUCCUGUCAAGCCAUGGUUACCACGUAGUUGCUCCAGAUCUCCGAGGCUACGCUGACUCCGAUUCUCCUCCGACCCAUGAGUCUUACACUGUGAGCCACCUCGUUGCUGAUGUCAUCGGUUUGCUCGAUCACUACGGCACUGCUCAGGUGAAACUGAUCUCUCAUCUUAUGAAAGAUUCCAACGGUUAGAUUUAGAUCAGUAUAUGAAAAUAUUUUACGUUUCUCAAUGUUAUAGGCUUUUGUGGCUGGACAUGACUGGGGAGCCAUCAUAGGUUGGUCUCUAUGCUUGUUUAGACCAGACAGAGUCAAAGGUUUCGUAAGUCUCUCUUGGAAAAUGGGAGAGACAACAACAGAUUCAGAACAUGGCAUCAUGCUCGGUUUUGAAGAUCCCAUGAGGAUUGAUCCCAGAAGAGAUCGUUUCCCGUGCUGCAUCGUCUGGACACCUCUCCCCUUCAUUACAUGGCUGGUUCCCUUCAUCGGCCACGUUGGUAUCUGCAGAGAAGAUGGUGUCAUCCUCGACUUCGCAGGACCUAACUUCGUCUGUGUUGACAAUUUUGCUUUUGGAGCUGUGUCUCGUUACAUCCAGAUCAACAAGGCUAAGGUAACCUUUGCAAAGAUGCUGCCUUUCGUUUUGUUUCCUUUGCUGCAAGUUAACAACUUUGGCUUGGUUUGAUCAGGAAUCAUCUCUUUCGUCCGGCUCAUGUUUGUUCAAUGAGGAAGGAGACACUCAUGAGAAAGAGCCAACGUGGGAUGAUGCACUGAGGAAAGGCACGCAAGAGUACCAACACUAUUCGUAUAACAUAUUGACAUGCAACUGUCAUUCCUUUGUAGCCAACAACCUGAACCGUCUUGCGAUAAGAUCAGGUGGAUGGAACGUGGUGAAUCUCGCGGCGCUAGUGUUCCUCAAGGGACGUUGGGUGAGCAAAACUGCGAUGGUCAAGUCUUUACUGCCUACAGUU
RNAcentral lists this long non-coding RNA (5417 nucleotides) under Brassica napus (rape). RNAcentral's name for it is "long non-coding RNA (BNAP_LNC000435)". The record is from RNAcentral. Lineage: Eukaryota; Viridiplantae; Streptophyta; Magnoliopsida; Brassicales; Brassicaceae.